AGAACGAACGCUGGCGGCAUGCCUAAUACAUGCAAGUCGAACGAAGGCUUCGGCCUUAGUGGCGCACGGGUGCGUAACGCGUGGGAAUCUGCCCCUUGGUUCGGAAUAACAGUUGGAAACGACUGCUAAUACCGGAUGAUGACGAAAGUCCAAAGAUUUAUCGCCAAGGGAUGAGCCCGCGUAGGAUUAGCUAGUUGGUGAGGUAAAGGCUCACCAAGGCGACGAUCCUUAGCUGGUCUGAGAGGAUGAUCAGCCACACUGGGACUGAGACACGGCCCAGACUCCUACGGGAGGCAGCAGUAGGGAAUAUUGGACAAUGGGCGAAAGCCUGAUCCAGCAAUGCCGCGUGAGUGAUGAAGGCCUUAGGGUUGUAAAGCUCUUUUACCCGAGAUGAUAAUGACAGUGUCGGGAGAAUAAGCCCCGGCUAACUCCGCGCCAGCAGCCGC
RNAcentral lists this ribosomal RNA (446 nucleotides) under uncultured soil bacterium. RNAcentral's name for it is "bacterial SSU rRNA". It matches the Rfam family "Bacterial small subunit ribosomal RNA", at positions 26 to 518 of the family's 1533-position model. The record is from RNAcentral.